RNAcentral lists this unclassified non-coding RNA (20 nucleotides) under Mus musculus (house mouse). RNAcentral describes it as "oocyte_clustered_small_RNA6608". Lineage: Eukaryota; Metazoa; Chordata; Mammalia; Rodentia; Muridae. The record is from RNAcentral.
UAGCUGGAUCCCACCGUAUC